GACAGAGGAGCCAAGCGUUGUCCGGAUUGACUGGGCGUAAAGCGCACGCAGGUGGUUGCGGGCGUCGGUGCUGAAAGUUCGCCGCUUAACGGCGAAUCGUGUGCCGAUACGCCGCAACUCGAGCCCGAGAGAGGUCCGUGGAAUUGCCGGUGUAGUGGUGAAAUGCGUAGAGAUCGGCAGGAACACCCAGGGGGAAGCCAGCGGACUGGCUCGGAGCUGACACUGAGGUGCGACAGCGUGGGGAGCGAACCGG
Molecule: ribosomal RNA, 253 nt
Filed under: uncultured bacterium
Lineage: Bacteria
Description: partial 16S ribosomal RNA
Rfam family: Bacterial small subunit ribosomal RNA
Source: RNAcentral